This 165-nucleotide ribosomal RNA is filed under the name Meloidogyne incognita (southern root-knot nematode). RNAcentral's name for it is "5.8S ribosomal RNA". It matches the Rfam family "5.8S ribosomal RNA". From Rfam's summary of the family: 5.8S ribosomal RNA (5.8S rRNA) is a component of the large subunit of the eukaryotic ribosome. It is transcribed by RNA polymerase I as part of the 45S precursor that also contains 18S and 28S rRNA. The record is from RNAcentral. Lineage: Eukaryota; Metazoa; Nematoda; Chromadorea; Rhabditida; Meloidogynidae.
UAAAAUUCUACCCUUAUCGGUGGAUCACUAGGCUCGUGGAUCGAUGAAGAACGCAGCAAACUGCGAUAAUUAUUGCGAACUGCAGAAGUAUUGAGCACAAAAGUUUUGGACGCAAAUGGCCGCAUUGAGGUCAAACUCUUUGCAACGUCUGGUUCAGGGUCGUUU